GCCAGGUGUCCUGGUGCACACCUGUAAUCCUAGCAACUUGGGAGACUGAGGCAGGAGUAUGGCAGUUUAAGGCCGGCCUCAGCAAUUUAGAUCCUGUCUCAA
RNAcentral lists this small RNA (102 nucleotides) under Marmota monax (woodchuck). Lineage: Eukaryota; Metazoa; Chordata; Mammalia; Rodentia; Sciuridae. The record is from RNAcentral.